CCUACGGGGUGCAGCAGUGGGGAAUAUUGGGCAAUGGGCGCAAGCCUGACCCAGCAACGCCGCGUGAAGGAAGAAGGCUUUCGGGUUGUAAACUUCUUUUCUCAGGGACGAAGAAAGUGACGGUACCUGAGGAAUAAGCCACGGCUAACUACGUGCCAGCAGCCGCGGUAAUACGUAGGUGGCAAGCGUUAUCCGGAUUUAUUGGGUGUAAAGGGCGAGUAGGCGGGAGCGCAAGUCAGAUGUGAAAACUCAGGGCUCAACCCUGAGCCUGCAUUUGAAACUGUGUGUCUUGAGUGCUGGAGAGGCAAUCGGAAUUCCGUGUGUAGCGGUGAAAUGCGUAGAUAUACGGAGGAACACCAGUGGCGAAGGCGGAUUGCUGGACAGUAACUGACGCUGAGGCGCGAAAGCGUGGGGAGCAAACAGGAGUAGAUACCCGGGUAGUC
RNAcentral lists this ribosomal RNA (443 nucleotides) under uncultured bacterium. RNAcentral describes it as "partial 16S ribosomal RNA". It matches the Rfam family "Bacterial small subunit ribosomal RNA", at positions 338 to 795 of the family's 1533-position model. The record is from RNAcentral.